CUAACUGUUUUAUUUUUUAUAAGAUAAACCGAUUGAUAGAAAAUUUAAGAGCAAUAAAUACAUGCGUAAUUGUGUGAGUACUGAUUUAUUUUAAUGUUACACCCACGUAAUCUAGUACAGGCAAUUAACCCUUCAAAUUAUAUACAAAUUGAGAUCGUUCGGGGAACUGUCCCUAAGCCCUCCAAAUCGUUUGCGUGCAACUGUCCAGUAGGAUUAGGAUAAUUUGAAGAUUUUUCUGACCGUGGCGCGCAACUGACUCGUGCUCUAUCUAUACGGACCAUUGUAAAAAAAUAAAAUUUAUACAAUGAAAUUUGAAAAUUCCCCCUUACAAAGUUGAGGAUGUCAUUUCAAAAAUUUAUAAAGAAAAUCUUAUUUGAAAGAUACAGUUACAUGUGUACACAUAUUUCUAUAUUUCACAUAAAUAAUGGAAUUAGCCAAAUACACUGACGUCAUCCGAGGUCAUCAAAAUGGCAGCGUUUGACAAAUAGCCGGUUUUCUCAUAAGAGUCAAUGCUAAUAUUUUCGGAAUUCAUUUAAAUCUGAGAGUGUGUCAACUGUGUUUUUGUAGUUUGGAGAAAAUGCCUAAAUUUUGUGCUGUUGUGGAUUGCGCGAAUCGAAGCACCAGAAAUGCGGACAAAUUUUAUUUUCCUUUCCCAGCAACUAGCAACAAUAAAGGUAAAUAUAUACAGGAUGGGGAAAAAGGCGGAAGCUUUGGUUAAAAGCCUUGAAACGAGUGGAUUUAACGAAGCCAAAGUAAAGUAUUCCUAUAUUUGUUCGGAUCAUUUUAUUUUAGGUAAACCUGCAGAUUUGUCGGAUGUGGACCACCCUGAUUAUGUUCCAUCACAAAAUUUAGGAUAUCAAAAUAAAUCCACUCAUAAUACUUGUAAUGUUGAAAGACACAGUCGUUUAAAAAAAAGAAAACUGAAUAAAUGC
This is a long non-coding RNA of Zophobas morio, 932 nucleotides long. RefSeq lists it as uncharacterized. The record is from RefSeq and is a predicted model, not a curated record. The transcript has 3 exons. NCBI's taxonomy places the organism in Eukaryota, Metazoa, Arthropoda, Insecta, Coleoptera, Tenebrionidae.